Molecule: ribosomal RNA, 631 nt
Filed under: uncultured bacterium
Lineage: Bacteria
Description: bacterial SSU rRNA
Rfam family: Bacterial small subunit ribosomal RNA
Source: RNAcentral
CGGGGAUAAGACAUCGGAAGAGCUGCUUGCAGAAUGGAAGAAGUCAUAUUCUAGUGGCGGACGGGUGAGUAACGCGUGGGCAACCUGCCUUAUACAGGGGGAUAACAGCUGGAAACAGCUGCUAAUACCGCAUAAGCGCACAGCGGCGCAUGACGCAGUGUGAAAAACUGAGGUGGUAUAAGAUGGGCCCGCGUCUGAUUAGCUGGUUGGGAGGGUAACGGCCUACCAAGGCGACGAUCAGUAGCCGGCCUGAGAGGGCGGACGGCCACAUUGGGACUGAGACACGGCCCAGACUCCUACGGGAGGCAGCAGUGGGGAAUAUUGCACAAUGGGGGGAACCCUGAUGCAGCGACGCCGCGUGAGUGAAGAAGUAUUUCGGUACGUAAAGCUCUAUCAGCAGGGAAGAAAAAAGGACGGUACCUGAGUAAGAAGCCCCGGCUAACUACGUGCCAGCAGCCGCGGUAAUACGUAGGGGGCAAGCGUUAUCCGGAAUUACUGGGUGUAAAGGGAGCGUAGACGGCAAUGCAAGUCCGGAGUGGAAUGCGGCAGCUCAACUGCCGAACUGCUCUGGAAACUGUAUGGCUUGAGUGCAGGAGGGGUAAGCGGAGUUCCUGGUGUAGCGGUGAAAUGC